This 144-nucleotide ribosomal RNA is filed under the name Plasmodium vivax (malaria parasite P. vivax). RNAcentral's name for it is "partial 18S rRNA". It matches the Rfam family "Eukaryotic small subunit ribosomal RNA", at positions 991 to 1100 of the family's 1831-position model. The record is from RNAcentral. Lineage: Eukaryota; Apicomplexa; Aconoidasida; Haemosporida; Plasmodiidae.
UAAGGGAGUGAAGACGAUCAGAUACCGUCGUAAUCUUAACCAUAAACUAUGCCGACUAGGCUUUGGAUGAAAGAUUUUAAAAUAAGAAUUUUCUCUUCGGAGUUUAUUCUUAGAUUGCUUCCUUCAGUGCCUUAUGAGAAAUCA